Molecule: long non-coding RNA, 1039 nt
Filed under: Ananas comosus (pineapple)
Lineage: Eukaryota; Viridiplantae; Streptophyta; Magnoliopsida; Poales; Bromeliaceae
Description: long non-coding RNA (ACOM_LNC001696)
Source: RNAcentral
CAGCUCGUGUUCGACUCGUGUUCGGCUUGAUAUUCGGCUCGCUCGAGCUCGGCUCGAAUUAAUUUCAAAUAAGCUUAAGCCUAAAUUUAGGCUCGAAAUUAAUUUCAAGCCGAGCUUGAGUAUUACUCGGCUUGCUCGAAUUAAGCUUGAAAAGCUCGAAAUAUAUAUACAUAUAUAUAUAUAGUCUGCUAUACUAUUAAUAGUACCAACCACUUGCUAUUAGGUUUUCGACCUUUGGAUGAAGGAAUGUGCGGCUAGAAUGACAGUGAUCCUCUAGGGUUGAGUGUGUGGUUAGUUGAAUAAUAUGAUCUAACGGCACAAAAUUCGAUAGUACCAAGCAUUUAGUAUUAUCAAUAAUAUAUAUAUAGUCCAGCUGCUAUACUAUCUAUACUAUCUAUAGUACUAAGUGUUUUGUACUAUUGAGUUUUUUGCCGUUAGAUCUGGCUAUAUAUAUAUAUAUAUAUAUAUAUAUAGAGUUCGGCUAUUAUACUAUCGAUAGUACCAAGCAUUUAGUGCUAUCGAGUUUUCUGCUGUUAGAUCUAUCUCUUUAGCUAUUUUCAUCCGUUAGAUCAUAAUAUUCAACUAGUCACCCACUCAACCCUAGGGGCUACUAUCAUCCUAACCACACAUUCUUUCAUCCAAGGGCCGAAAAUCUAAUAGUAAGCGGUCUAUGCUAUUAAUAGUAUAGUAGCCUAAUUCUAUAUAUAUAUAUGCUCGUGCUACUAUACUCUUAUAAGUAUAAACCCCUUUAUACUUAUAAAUUUUCAGUCGUUGGAUAUAUGAUUAGAAUGAUAGUGGUCUCCUAAGAUUGAGUCAGUGGUUCGUUGAAUAGUAUGAUUUAACGAAUAAAAAUGGUCAAAAUCCUACUCUAAUUGCUCUCUUUCUCUCUUUUUCCCUUUCUCGCAGAGUCGCUUUUCCUAAUUAUUUUAGUAUUAUAAUAUCGUAUUUCAUGCAUUUAUUUUAUAUGUUAAACUAUUAGAUAUUUUUUAUAUCAAAUUUUAGAUAAUAUUUUAUAAAAAUUAAAGUAUAGAUUGCAUGA